UACGUAGGCAGCAAGCGUUGUUCGGAAUUACUGGGCGUAAAGAGUGUGUAGGCGGUGCUCUAAGUUCGGUGUGAAAUCUCCCGGCUCAACUGGGAGGGUGCGCCGAAAACUGGAGUGCUGGAGCGCGGGAGAGGAAAGCGGAAUUCCUGGUGUAGCGGUGAAAUGCGCAGAUAUCAGGAGGAACACCGGUGGCGAAGGCGGGUCUCUGGGCCGUAACUGACGCUGAGGAGCGAAAGCGUGGGGAGCGAACAGG
Molecule: ribosomal RNA, 253 nt
Filed under: uncultured bacterium
Lineage: Bacteria
Description: partial 16S ribosomal RNA
Rfam family: Bacterial small subunit ribosomal RNA
Source: RNAcentral